This is a long non-coding RNA of Lutzomyia longipalpis, 429 nucleotides long. RefSeq lists it as uncharacterized. NCBI's taxonomy places the organism in Eukaryota, Metazoa, Arthropoda, Insecta, Diptera, Psychodidae. The record is from RefSeq and is a predicted model, not a curated record. The transcript has 3 exons.
UUUUAGUCGUUUGAGUUUAAAUAUUUGAAUUUGUAUUAAGUAGCGCAUACUUCAGGCAGGUUAGAUUUAUGAUGGAAGGACUUUAGUGAAGAAAGUAGAAGUUGUCGCGUGCUCUCCAUUUAUUUGUGAAAUUUACCGAUUAAUAUUGAAUGGAAAAUUAGGCGAAGAAGAAGUAAACGCCCAGAAAAGUUGAUGAAAAGAGACACGGACAACAGUGAGGUUAGAAUCAGAAGAAAUGGAAUGAAGAAAUGUUAGAAUAUUAAUUUAUAAUUUGUUUUCAGGGGAACUAGAAGAUUUAUUGAGAAGAGGAAGGCAGGCAAGCCCAAUUUAGGAGGGAUAUUAUCUCGAACCGAAAUUACACGUUACGGCUUGAGCUGCCUGAAGUUUGCGAUUUGAUGAAAAUAUAUGAAUAAAGAAGUUCUUGUUCAA